This 253-nucleotide ribosomal RNA is filed under the name uncultured bacterium. Its description in RNAcentral is "partial 16S ribosomal RNA". It matches the Rfam family "Bacterial small subunit ribosomal RNA", at positions 524 to 776 of the family's 1533-position model. The record is from RNAcentral.
UACGUAGGCAGCAAGCGUUGUUCGGAGUUACUGGGCGUAAAGGGUGCGUAGGCGGCUAUUUAAGUUUGGUGUGAAAUCUCCCGGCUCAACCGGGAGGGUGCGCCGAAUACUGAGUGGCUAGAGUACGGGAGAGGAAAGUGGAAUUCCUGGUGUAGCGGUGAAAUGCGUAGAUAUCGGGAGGAACACCAGUGGCGAAGGCGAGUCUCUGGGAUGAUACUGACGCUGAGGCGCGAAAGCUAGGGGAGCAAACGGG